Molecule: ribosomal RNA, 262 nt
Filed under: uncultured bacterium
Lineage: Bacteria
Description: partial 16S ribosomal RNA
Source: RNAcentral
CUGCUGCCUUCCGUAGGAGUCUGGCCGUGUCUCAGUCCCAAUGUGGCCGUCCACUCUCUCAAGCCGGCUACUGAUCGCUGCCUUGGUGGGCCGUUACCCCGCCAACUAGCUAAUCAGACGCGGGCCCAUCCUGUACCACCGGAGUUUUCCCCGCAGCGCCAUGCGGCGCCGCGGGCUUAUGCGGUAUUAGCAGCCGUUUCCGGCCGUUGUCCCCCUGUACAGGGCAGGUUACCCACGCGUUACUCACCCGUCCGCCACUGGG